Molecule: transfer RNA, 66 nt
Filed under: Phyllomimus sp. YH-2018
Lineage: Eukaryota; Metazoa; Arthropoda; Insecta; Orthoptera; Tettigoniidae
Description: tRNA-Trp
Source: RNAcentral
AAGGUUUUAAGUUAACCUAAACUAGUAGCCUUCAAAGCUAAAAAUAAAAACUGUUUUUAAACCUUA